GACGAACGCUGGCGGCAUGCCUAACACAUGCAAGUCGAACGAGAACGACGGAGCUUGUUGCGCCUGAGUAGGGGCGAACGGGGAAGUAACACGUAAGCAACCUACCCUUCACUCUGGGGGGAGCUCGGGAAGGCGAGGCUAAUACCAGAAAUGAUCUCCCGUCGCAGGGCGGGCGUGGGAUAGUUUUGCGGUGAUGGAUGGGAUCAGGGCCUAUCGGUUUGGUUGGGUGGCAGGGGCGAACCAAGGCAAUGCCGGGUUGCGGGCCUGAGAGGGCGACCGGCCACACUAGGCCUGCGACACGGCCCAGACUCCUACGGGAGGCAGCAGUGGGGAAUCUUGCACAGUGGGCGCGAGCCUGAUGCGGCGACGCCGCGUGUGGGAUGACGUCCUUCGGGUAGUAAACCUCUGUCAGCUGGGAAGAAGCGAUAGUGACGGUACCUGCAGAAGAAGCGCCGGCUAACUACGUG
This 467-nucleotide ribosomal RNA is filed under the name uncultured bacterium. RNAcentral describes it as "partial 16S ribosomal RNA". It matches the Rfam family "Bacterial small subunit ribosomal RNA", at positions 28 to 507 of the family's 1533-position model. The record is from RNAcentral.